RNAcentral lists this non-coding RNA (24 nucleotides) under Rattus norvegicus (Norway rat). Lineage: Eukaryota; Metazoa; Chordata; Mammalia; Rodentia; Muridae. The record is from RNAcentral.
CAUGAAGUAAGAGAAGCUGUGUGC